UACGUAGGUGACAAGCGUUGUCCGGAAUUAUUGGGCGUAAAGAGCUCGUAGGCGGUCUGUUGCGUCCGCUGUGAAAACUCGGGGCUUAACCCCGAGCCUGCAGUGGAUACGGGCAGACUAGAGGUAGGUAGGGGAGAAUGGAAUUCCCGGUGUAGCGGUGAAAUGCGCAGAUAUCGGGAGGAACACCGGUGGCGAAGGCGGUUCUCUGGGCCUUACCUGACGCUGAGGAGCGAAAGCGUGGGGAGCGAACAGG
RNAcentral lists this ribosomal RNA (253 nucleotides) under uncultured bacterium. Its description in RNAcentral is "partial 16S ribosomal RNA". It matches the Rfam family "Bacterial small subunit ribosomal RNA", at positions 524 to 776 of the family's 1533-position model. The record is from RNAcentral.